Long non-coding RNA from Carassius auratus (goldfish), 450 nucleotides. RefSeq lists it as uncharacterized. The record is from RefSeq and is a predicted model, not a curated record. The transcript is spliced from 3 exons. Lineage: Eukaryota; Metazoa; Chordata; Actinopteri; Cypriniformes; Cyprinidae.
GGAAUAUAUAUCGCUGUUGUUGUUGUUGCUGUUGCUGUUGUUGUUCUGCUGCUCGUUAUGUACAGGUGCCAUGAUAGAAGGGGAGACCCUGUGAUGCAGGACAGUGAUCAGAAUCAUUCUGGAGAUUUUUCCCCUAAUCAAUCUGAAGCUCUGCCGAUGAACGGGACGCCCUCUAGUCAGUCUGAGACACAUACUGCCAAUGAGAUGUCACAGUAACAGUAGUGUUUUGAUUGUUUCAUAUGAAGAGAACAUAAAGAGAAGAUUGGAAAUGAGAGAAGAGCAUCAGCUGAAACUCACAACAUUCAUAAACACAAUACCAUGAUUCCAGUAUUAGGUAGGAAUUGCACCUAAUUCAAACUAGUUUGCAAUAUAAUUUAUAAUUAUUAUAAUUUAUAAUUCAAUUAUUAAGUGAUUUAAUAAUUUAAAUCUAUAUUUAAAUAAUGUAGGUUG